UACGUAGGGUCCGAGCGUUGUCCGGAAUUAUUGGGCGUAAAGGGCUCGUAGGCGGUUUGUCACGUCGGGAGUGAAAACUCAGGGCUCAACCCUGAGCGUGCUUCCGAUACGGGCAGACUAGAGGUAUGCAGGGGAGAACGGAAUUCCUGGUGUAGCGGUGGAAUGCGCAGAUAUCGGGAAGAACACCCGUGGCGAAGGCGGUUCUCUGGGACGGUACUGACGCUGAGACGCGAAAGCGUGGGGAGCGAACAGG
Molecule: ribosomal RNA, 253 nt
Filed under: uncultured bacterium
Lineage: Bacteria
Description: partial 16S ribosomal RNA
Rfam family: Bacterial small subunit ribosomal RNA
Source: RNAcentral